Molecule: transfer RNA, 77 nt
Filed under: Rickettsiales bacterium
Lineage: Bacteria; Pseudomonadati; Pseudomonadota; Alphaproteobacteria; Rickettsiales
Description: tRNA-His
Rfam family: tRNA
About the family: Transfer RNA (tRNA) molecules are approximately 80 nucleotides in length. Their secondary structure includes four short double-helical elements and three loops (D, anti-codon, and T loops).
Source: RNAcentral
GCGAAUGUAGCUCAGUUGGUUAGAGCGCGGGUUUGUGGUACCUGAGGUCGCGGGUUCGAGUCCCGUCCUUCGCCCCA